CUAGAGAUAGAUUGGUGCCUUCGGGAACAUUGAGACAGGUGCUGCAUGGCUGUCGUCAGCUCGUGCCGUGAGAUGUUGGGUUAAGUCCCGUAACGAGCGCAACCCUUGUCCUUAGUUACCAGCACGUAAUGGUGGGCACUCUAAGGAGACUGCCGGUGACAAACCGGAGGAAGGUGGGGAUGACGUCAAGUCAUCAUGGCCCUUACGGCCUGGGCUACACACGUGCUACAAUGGUCGGUACAGAGGGUUGCCAAGCCGCGAGGUGGAGCUAAUCCCACAAAACCGAUCGUAGUCCGGAUCGCAGUCUGCAACUCGACUGCGUGAAGUCGGAAUCGCUAGUAAUCGCGAAU
Molecule: ribosomal RNA, 350 nt
Filed under: uncultured bacterium
Lineage: Bacteria
Description: bacterial SSU rRNA
Rfam family: Bacterial small subunit ribosomal RNA
Source: RNAcentral